Molecule: ribosomal RNA, 500 nt
Filed under: uncultured bacterium
Lineage: Bacteria
Description: partial 16S ribosomal RNA
Rfam family: Bacterial small subunit ribosomal RNA
Source: RNAcentral
AUCGAACGCUGGCGGAAUGCUUUACACAUGCAAGUCGAACGGCAGCACGGACUUCGGUCUGGUGGCGAGUGGCGAACGGGUGAGUAAUGUAUCGGAACGUGCCCAGUCGUGGGGGAUAACGUAGUGAAAAUUACGCUAAUACCGCAUACGAUCUAUGGAUGAAAGCGGGGGAUCGCAAGACCUCGCGCGAUUGGAGCGGCUGAUAUCAGAUUAGGUAGUUGGUGGGGUAAAGGCCCACCAAGCCAACGAUCUGUAGCUGGUCUGAGAGGACGACCAGCAACACUGGAACUGAGACACGGUCCAGACUCCUACGGGAGGCAGCAGUGGGGAAUUUUGGACAAUGGGCGAAAGCCUGAUCCAGCCAUUCCGCGUGCAGGAUGAAGGCCCUCGGGUUGUAAACUGCCUUUGUAUAGAACGAAAAGGUUUCUACUAAUACUAGGAGCUCAUGACGGUACUGUAAGAAUAAGCACCGGCUAACUACGUGCCAGCCGCCGCGGUAA